This 454-nucleotide ribosomal RNA is filed under the name uncultured Paraprevotella sp. RNAcentral's name for it is "partial 16S ribosomal RNA". It matches the Rfam family "Bacterial small subunit ribosomal RNA", at positions 341 to 792 of the family's 1533-position model. The record is from RNAcentral. Lineage: Bacteria; Pseudomonadati; Bacteroidota; Bacteroidia; Bacteroidales; Prevotellaceae.
ACGGGAGGCAGCAGUGAGGAAUAUUGGUCAAUGGUCGCAAGACUGAACCAGCCAAGUAGCGUGCAGGAAGACAGCCCUAUGGGUUUUAAACUGCUUUUGUAUGCGAAUAAAACUUGAUACGCGUUAUCAAAUUGCAUGUAGCAUACGAAUAAGCAUCGGCUAAUUCCGUGCCAGCAGCCGCGGUAAUACGGAAGAUGCAAGCGUUAUCCGGAUUUAUUGGGUUUAAAGGGAGCGUAGGCGGUCUAUUAAGUCAGCGGUUAAAUGUCGAUGCCCAACAUCGUCCAGCCGUUGAAACUGGCAGACUUGAAUACACACAAGGAUGGUGGAAUUCGUCGUGUAGCGGUGAAAUGCUUAGAUAUGACGAAGAACUCCGAUUGCGAAGGCAGCCAUCUGGAGUGCGAUUGACGCUGAGGCUCGAAAGUGCGGGAAUCAAACAGGAUUAGAUACCCUGGUA